GAUGAACGCUGGCGGCGUGCCUAAUACAUGCAAGUCGAGCGAACAGAUGAGGAGCUUGCUCCUCUGACGUUAGCGGCGGACGGGUGAGUAACACGUGGAUAACCUACCUAUAAGACUGGGAUAACUUCGGGAAACCGGAGCUAAUACCGGAUAAUAUAUUGAACCGCAUGGUUCAAUAGUGAAAGACGGUUUUGCUGUCACUUAUAGAUGGAUCCGCGCCGCAUUAGCUAGUUGGUAAGGUAACGGCUUACCAAGGCAACGAUGCGUAGCCGACCUGAGAGAGUGAUCGGCCACACUGGAACUGAGACACGGUCCAGACUCCUACGGGAGGCAGCAGUAGGGAAUCUUCCGCAAUGGGCGAAAGCCUGACGGAGCAACGCCGCGUGAGUGAUGAAGGUCUUCGGAUCGUAAAGCUCUGUUAUUAGGGAAGAACAAAUGUGUAAGUAACUAUGCACGUCUUGACGGUACCUAAUCAGAAAGCCACGGCUAACUACGUG
RNAcentral lists this ribosomal RNA (497 nucleotides) under uncultured bacterium. RNAcentral describes it as "partial 16S ribosomal RNA". It matches the Rfam family "Bacterial small subunit ribosomal RNA", at positions 28 to 507 of the family's 1533-position model. The record is from RNAcentral.